CUGCGAUCUUGGGGGUCUGAGGAAGGAGGACCCCUGUGAGGCGUUCAGAGGACUCCCAGUGAGAGAAUGGUCUGGGCGACCCUCUGAGAGGGGCGAUCUUGGGGGUAUGAGGAGGUGGGACCCCCGUGUGGUGGAUGCUCGCCCAGAGAACAAAUCCCAUCACAAACAUCCCAUCUCGCCCUUCAUUCUUAACACCGCGGCGAGUUCUCAACCUCUUCCCUUUAGCAAACGCCAAAACCACCUCAGGGUAAGAGGGAGGAAGUGGUGGAAGCAGAAGCUGUGGAUUGUGCCACCCAAGUGCCACUGUGCCCAGAGCCACCUGUCCCUGCCAGCCUCUGGCAGCAAGCCAGGUGAUCUGAUGGCUUAUUCUGGGAUGUCAAUACCUGCAUUGUUGGGAAUGGGAAGAAAUCCCAGCGUGCCAAAGCAGCUGGAUUAGUGCUGAGCUGCCUGGGAAUUCCAGCCUGAACACAGACGUUGUGCAAGGACCUGCAAAUCCCAGGGACCAGAUCUGGAAUGGCAACAAAGAUAUUCUCUUGGUGUGUUGUUUUAAACAUUUACAGAGGUGUAGAAGGGAUUUUUCCCUUUUAUCCAUCAUUUUCUUCUCCCAAAAUUGUUAAUUUUUUGAUUGAGGCAACAUCAAAUGUUUGUCACAUGGAGCAUCUCACACUCUCAGGGAAACCAUCCUCCAUCCUUCACCUGUUUGUUUCAGGA
Long non-coding RNA from Vidua chalybeata, 711 nucleotides. RefSeq lists it as uncharacterized. Lineage: Eukaryota; Metazoa; Chordata; Aves; Passeriformes; Viduidae. The record is from RefSeq and is a predicted model, not a curated record. The transcript is spliced from 3 exons.